RNAcentral lists this long non-coding RNA (370 nucleotides) under Mytilus galloprovincialis (Mediterranean mussel). The record is from RNAcentral. Lineage: Eukaryota; Metazoa; Mollusca; Bivalvia; Mytilida; Mytilidae.
AGAUUUCAUGCACGGAAGACUUCUGCACAUUUGGUACUCUUGCACAAUUAAUUGAGGCAGCUCUGUUUUUUAUUCAAUAUAUCCUCAUUUUGCAUUACCAUUCCAAGUUCCAUGUCCAUUCUCUCAGUCGACCUUUUAUAUUUGCUAUGAAAAGCCUACCUAUUGUGUUCUCGUUAUGAACAUACAUGUAAUAUUUGCCACAGGACGUAAAACAAACAACAUUUAUUAAACAGACUCAUUAAUAAUUAAUAUCAUGAAAACCAUAUACGAAGGCAAGAUUUGCACAAUCCUAUAAAGUAAUAUUUCCAUGUAUCCGUUUCGAUAAUUAUUGAAACUAUAACGACCCUUUUCAGGGUUGCGUUCAAUAUCG